This 471-nucleotide ribosomal RNA is filed under the name uncultured bacterium. RNAcentral's name for it is "bacterial SSU rRNA". It matches the Rfam family "Bacterial small subunit ribosomal RNA", at positions 28 to 507 of the family's 1533-position model. The record is from RNAcentral.
GACGAACGCUGGCGGCGUGCCUAACACAUGCAAGUCGAGCGGAGGUACCCAAGGAGUAAUCUGAGGGUACUUUAGCGGCGGACGGGUGAGUAACGCGUGAGCAACCUGCCUUUCACAGGGGGAUAAGGCGGCGAAAGCCGCUCUAAUACCGCAUGAGACCACGGGGAUGAUAUUUCUGGGGUCAAAGGAGCAAUCCGGUGAGAGAUGGGCUCGCGUCCGAUUAGGUAGUUGGUGAGGUAACGGCCCACCAAGCCAAUGAUCGGUAGCCGGCCUGAGAGGGUGAACGGCCACAUUGGAACUGAGAGACGGUCCAAACUCCUACGGGAGGCAGCAGUGGGGAAUAUUGGGCAAUGGGGGAAACCCUGACCCAGCAACGCCGCGUGAGGGAAGAAGGUUUUCGGAUUGUAAACCUCUGUUCUUGGAGAAGAGAAGAAGACGGUAUCCAAGGAGGAAGCCCGGGCUAACUACGUG